UGACAUUUAUAGCGUAGUAGACCCACUCCGAACCAUCCCGAACUCGGUUGUUAAAUGCUACAGCGGCGAUGAUACUAAAAGGGGGACUUUUUGGAAAAGUAGCUCGAUGUCAGGACU
Molecule: ribosomal RNA, 117 nt
Filed under: Rhodogorgon sp.
Lineage: Eukaryota; Rhodophyta; Florideophyceae; Rhodogorgonales; Rhodogorgonaceae
Source: RNAcentral